UAGAUUCUUUCCAAGAGCUGCAUGUAUUGGAUGCUCAAUGCAAUAUUGUUUGUUACAGUAAAACACCUGGAGAUGAUCUAAAUAUCCUUCUGUUGAAGAAUGGAUGAAGAAAUCAUGGCACAUUUCCACUGUGAAAUAUUAUGCAGCAGUUAAGAAGAGUAAAGCACCUCUAUAUGGAGAGAUAGGGGAAAAACUUCAGAGCCUCUUAUGUCAAUCAAAGCCAGUUUUGGCAUAGUCAUCUCCUUUAUGCUGAAAAUAAUUACCACGUGUAGUAAAAAUUACCCCCAAAUGCUGUGCGUGUUACCUUAUUUAGAAAAAGAAUCUUUGCAGAUCUGAUUUAGGAUCUUGAGAUGGGGAACUUAUCCUGAUUACCCAAGUGGACCCUAAAUGCCAUCACAAAUAUGCAUGUAAGGAAGAGGCAGAGGGAGAUUUGACACAAAGAAAAGAGGAGACCAUGGAGGCAGAGACAGGAGUGAUGCGACUACAAGACAAGGAAUGCCGACAGCCACCAAAAGCUGCAAGAGGCAAGGAACGGAUUCUCCCCUAGAGCCUUUGGAGGUAGCCUGGCCCAGCUGACACCUGGAUUUUGACCCAGUGAAACUGAUGUGGAACUUGUGGCCUCCAGAACUGUGAGAGAAUAUAUUUAUGCUGUUUUAAGCCAGCAAGUCAGUGGUAAUCUGUUAUGGCAGCUACAGGAAAUGAAUACUCUGUAACAUACGCAUAUGUUACAAUGCAAAGAAAAGCCACAGCCUGAGAAGAUGCACACCCUAAUUGCUAACUGUGGCUCCCUCUGGGGAGAGGAAGGAGAUGUUCGAUUUUGCUGUGACUUUGUUUGUAUUAUGUGGGUUUUUAACCGUGCCUAUCUAUGCAUGUAGUACCUGUGUGUUUUUAAAAAUAGCAAUAGAGACCAAAUUAAAAACAUAUCUAAUUGGGACAGAAAUUUAGGAUCUCACUUCAGAAAAAUCAUCAGAUAAAGGUAUCUUAGGGGAUGGCAAGGCAUCGUUUGUUUUAUAGAAAAGAGGCUCAGUCCUACUGAACACCCUUAGUUGCAACCAUACUGAAUGCCUCUCACGAUGGAGGUUAGAGUACCUCCCCCACCAAAAGGGGACUGACUUUUGUCCCCUAUUGGUUGAGGGCUGUCACCAGAGGUAUCACCCUGAGCUUCCUGGCACAGCAGGCAAGAAAGCGGGAGUGAUCAGGUCGUUGGGACUGGCAGUGCGCAGGAAGAUUGCCUGCUGUGGGGGCAGCUGGAGUCCAGCUUUGGGGACAUAACAUUGGUGUGUUCACUAUAUUCUCUUAUUUUCCGUUUUUUUUUUUUGAUGCUCUGGUGUCUGGUGCCUUGUGGACUUAGGGAAGGACUGCCCCUCCCAGGGUUAGCUAAUUCUUAAGGAGAGUAACCAACUGGCCUUUGAGCACACCUUUCAUGUGCAAACCAACCAAUUUUGAGUCUGUAUCACCCACCUUAUUUUAUUAGGUUUCUGUCUGUCCUCUGCCCUAUCACCUGUAGCCCAGACCCGCUGAAAUCAUUCAAUUUCAGUUUGCUUAACUUUCUUUGCUCAUUCGGUACUGUGAAAACCACAGUAAAGGCUGCAGCUGCAUUUGCUCUCUCUCUCUCUUUGCCUGCGCAUCUCAGCUCCCGCAGCCCUGUGUGUUCCUGUGUGUCAUGCCGUGCCUCCUGUUUCUAGGAGACUCUAAAUUAGGAGGCAGUCACCAAAAUAUUUGGAAACAGUGUAAGAAGCAGCCAGUUUCAUAUGGAAGCAGCAUUGUAAGAAGUAAGAAAGAGUAGAAGAGGGAGCCUAAGUUGGCAGAUUUCAGAAAGUACCAGUGAAAUAUACCUGAAGGUGAGUGACACACCUGAGGAGCAGAAUCAUCAUCCCCCUACCCCUUGUCUGCAAAAGAGGGUGUGGAAAUGGGAUGGGGGCAAGUUUAGUGGCUCAGAGGAUUCAGCUGGACGAUUGGGAUUAGAAAAGCAGAGGACACUGUGAUACAUAAAGAGCCAUGCUAACAAGCCGUAUUUGCAGGAUGCAGCCUGACCAUGGGGUAGAUCAGAAGAAGAGAGUAUCUGCAUUAUGAAAACCAGCUGAUUUCAAAUUCCACUGGGUUCAACAGGAACCUCUUUCAAUUGACUGCUCCAACUCAUACAGUAAAAAGAACCCAGCAUCUAUACAGAGACACUGUGCUAAAAAAGGGGACAAAGAACAGCAAUGUUUCUUAACAGUUGAGGGCUGAUCACCUGAAAAUAUGACCUGGAAACAGUGGAAUUUUGAGCAAUCUUAUCGCAAUGAAUUUUUAAAACUUAAUAUACCCUCUGUGAAGAAAUACCACAAAGCAGAAACGCAAGAAUUCAAGAAAAAAUGGUAAGAUGGAAAGACAUGAAAUAUGAGCUGAAAAGAAGUAAGGAAAAGUAGAAACUAACAGAAAUAGCAUCUUGUCUCUGGAAAAGGCUGCGUGGCAAGAGGCGGCCAGUGAUGGCAUUCUGCCUCUUGAUGACCCUGUCUGCGAUGGCUGUCACCCACUUUCCCCCACAGCGUCCAGGCGCCAGCCCAGACCCUGGUCCCACGGAGCCUCAGGGGGUAACUGGCACCCCUGCAACCCAUAUCUGGCAGGCUUUGAGCUCCAGCCAGAGGCAGCAGGCAAGAAACAUGGGCUUCUGGAGAGGUCGUGCUUUGCCUAGGAACUCCAUCUUGGUCUGUGCGGAGGAGCAAGGCCACAGAGCGAGAGUGGACAGAAGCAGAGAGUCCCCAGGAGGGGACUUCAGGCAUCCAGGGAGGGUCAGGAGGGACAUUACUUGGACAGGACAUCCAAGACUCAGUACUCAGCAUGUUGUGCUCCUGAGGGAGGAUGAGGUCGGAGAUCCAGGAGCCAAAGACCUGGGCCACCCCCGGCAUGGCAGUCCCACCCAGGAGAUGCAGAGUGAGAUGGUCGCCCUGGUUGAUCCACUCGCAGGGAGCGAUGUGGCAGCUUCACCAGCUUGGAGAACUACUGCUGGGCUGACACUCUGGCCCCAUAGAGUGGAAGGCAGGGAUCUGAUGGGAACUGAGAACAGAGCCUUGACUGGUGGACGACAAGAAGAGGAUCCCACCUUGGCCUCAGGGGCUCAUCAGUGGCCUGGCUCUGUUGGGGAGCUGCAAGGGUCAGUAUGGUGUGGCACUGAGACCCCAGGGCUGUUGAGCAGCUCGAGGACUGGUGGGCAGGUUCCCCCAUGGCUGACAGACCACGAUGUGCAGAUGCUUCGACUGUUGGCUCAGGGGGAGGUGGUGGGCAAAGCCAGGGUCCCUGCCCAUGGGCAGGUGCUACAGGUUGGCUUCUCUGCUGAGGGUACCCUUCAGGACGUGUCCCCUCCCAGGCUCAGCCAACUCUGCUCCCAAGGGCUCUGUGGCCUGAUCAAGAGGCCUGGGGACCUGCCUGAGGUCCUAUCCUUCCAUGUAGAUCGUGUGCUGGGGCUGCGCAGGAGCCUGCCUGCUGUGGCCCGCCGCUUCCACAGCCCCCUCCUGCCCUACCGCUACACGGAUGGUGGCACAAGGCCUGUCAUCUGGUGGGCCCCCGAUGUGCAGCACCUGGGUGACCCGGAUGAGGACCAGAACUCUCUGGCCUUGGGCUGGCUGCAGUACCAGGCCCUGCUGGCACAUGGUUGCAGCUGGCCAGGCCAGGCCUCAUGCUUGGGCAUCCACCAUGCGGAGUGGGCACGCCUGGCGCUCUUCGACUUCCUGUUGCAGGUCCACGACCGCUUGGAUCGCUACUGUUGUGGCUUCGAGCCUGAACCCUCAGACCCCUGUGUGCAAGAGGGGCUCCGAGAUAAAUGCUGGAACCCGGCUGAGCUGCGGCUGGUCCACAUCCUGGUCCGGAGCAGUGAUCCAUCUCACCUGGUCUACAUCGAUAAUGCCGGCAACCUUCAGCACCCUGAGGACAAGCUGAACUUUCGGCUGCUGGAGGGCAUAGAUGGGUUUCCUGAGUCUGCUGUGAGGGUUCUCACAUCAGGGUGUCUACAGAACAUGCUGCUUAAGUCGCUGCAGAUGGACCCUGUGUUCUGGGAAAGCCAAGGUGGGGCCCAGGGGCUGAAGCAGGUCCUCCAGACCCUGGAGCGGCGAGGACAGGUGCUGCUGGAACAUAUCCGGAAGCACAACCUCACACUCUUCAGGGACGAGAACCCGUGAGCCUCGCCACGGCCCUGAGUCAAUGAGCAUCCAUCCUGAUGGCCACAUCUUCUUGGACUCACUCAUCUUGAGGACAAAUAGGAAAAGCCAGAAGCCAGAGGGGCACAAGGAUCUCACAGGAUAUUUCACCUGCCUGGGAUGGUGGAGAAAGCCUCUUCGCCUCAGUGCUUGCUGCUUGCCCAGCUGUUCCCUCUGGAAUGAGAACCGUGUGCCAAGUGAAGCAAACAGCCAGGAAUCAGGAUGUUCCCACCAACCUUAGAAGAGGCUGUGAAGAUAAGGAACCAAUAGCAGGGGCAGUGGGGAGGAAGAACAGAGGGGUGUCUUGCCUGAGGCCACACAGAUGGGAGCAGCUGCCUUUCUCAUACAAGGACACUUCACUUGUUAUUAGAUUUGGGGCCCACAUGGAUAAUACAGGCAACAUUUCCCAUGGGAUCAUUGUACACCACAGACUCUGAAUUACACCAGGAAACAGGGCUUUGCCUCCCUGUGUCCAUGUGUCAGGUGAGUGGUGCACUAGGCAUCACCUUGGGUACAGGGAGCAUGACCCAAGAUGCUGUGCCUAAAGGGAAUGUUAAGGUGCCCUGCUUCUUGGACAUCUGAUUGCCAGUUCUCAUGACUGCUGCUUCAUUUAAAACUUAAUUGUAGUGUGAUAUCAGAACCAAGAACUUGACAUUGGUACAAUAUGUGUGAUUCCACAGUCCUGUUAUCAUGCACCCACAUACAACAGUGGGGUAGGAUCCCAGGCAUCUUGGAUGAUUUUCACAUCAGGAAUGAAUGGAUGCAUCCUUUCUCUGCCCUGCCCACAUGGAAGUUCUGCUGUCCACAUGAAGGCACAUCUAGUUCUGGUGAGUGACCAUGGUGAAUGUCAGGGAUUGGGUUGCCCAAUCUCCACCCCGCCUUCCUUCUACGGAGUCUUCCUGCACUGCUGAGACCAAAAAGCUGCACACUCCAUUACCCAGGCUCCCUUGCAGCUGGGCUCUGGAUGCAAAUUAGAUUCUACCAUUCAGAUGUACUCCUGGGAGGGCCGUCCUCCUGUGUGGACAUCCUCCUGUGCCUUUUAGCUAUUUUCAGUUCACAGGCAAAGUGGUGGCGAUGAGAGGUGUUCUAGAGCAGGCUUCAGUGUCCACUUGCCAGCUUUCUGGGUCCCAAGAGUGGGAGGCUGGCAGAGUGGGGCUGGACGGUGAUUCUGUUACCCAGUCACCAGCUUUGUGAUGGUUGAGAGGUGGCUGUGACACUGCUGAGAGCAUCCUGAUCCCUAGAUCCCAACUCCAUUUGUGGUUCUUUAGCUCACAGCCCUAGCAGCAGCCUCCGGGAUUGUGGUGGUUGCAGAACUGAGGCCUAUCCUGGAGCACUCUCCCCCAGAUCUUCCAAGGAUUUCUUAAACACUUUCUGUUUUGAAAAAAAAAAUGAUAAAUUCACAGAAGUUGCAAAGAUAGUACAGGGAGGUCCUGUGUAUCCUUCACCGAGUUUCCCCCAUAGUUACAGCUUCCUUAAUUGUAGUGCAAUAUCAAAACCAAGAACUUAAUAUUGGUACAAUAUGUGUGAUUCCACACUCCUGUGAAUCACAUGUACAUUCAUCAAUCACCACAGCAAUCAAGGUAAAGAACUGUUUCAUCACCACAAAGAUCACACCUACCCCUUUCACUCUCUCCCAUUCCUAAGCCCUGGCAACCACAAAUCUGUUCUCCACUUUUAUAAUUUUAUCAUUUCAAGAGGAACGUUACAUAAAUAGAACCACCCAGGAGGUAAACUUUGGAGGUUGGCUUUUCUUCCACUCAGCACAAUGUCUUUGAGACCCAUCUAAGUUGUUGAUGUAUCAGUAACCCACUCUUUUUUGUUGCUGAGUGGUAUUCCAUGGUAUGGAUGUGCCACGUGUUGUUUAAUUAUUUGCCCAUUGAAGGAUAUCUGGGUCAUUUUCAGUUCUUGGCUAUUGCAAACAAAUCUGCUUGGAACAUUUGUGUACAGGCUUUUGGGUAAACAUCAUUUUCAUUUCUCUGGCAUAAAUGCCCAGAAGUCCAAUUUCUGAGUCAUAGGGUAAGUAUAUGUUCAAUUUCUUAAGAAACUGCUCAUCUAUUUCACAGAGUACCACUUUACAUUCUUACCGGCAAUGAAUGUAAACCCAGCUGUUCUGCAUGUUUGCUGGCAUUUGGUGUUGUUGCUAUUUCUUGUUUUAGUGGAAGUGUGGUUGAGUCUUCCCUUGCCACCAAUGUCUCUAUAUUUGAACUUGGAAAAUGGGAAUGGUUUGGGGAUACUGAGGGAUUAUUGGCCUCACAGUUAUACAGUAAUCCACCCCCACCCCCAUUAGGAAAAGGUAAUAUUUCAAAAUAUUGUUUAUCAUAAAUUCAAAUUGAAUUGGGUGUACCUUACUUUUGUUUGCUAAAUUUAGCAAUCCUAGGAAAAGGUUAACCUACCUGAACCAGUCAAAAGUCUGAAAGUACAACACUCAAAAACACAUCAUUUGAUUAUUUCCACUAGAUGUAAGCUCCCAGAGGCAAAGAUUACAUCUUCUUAUACUUUUUAUUCCCAGGACCCAGGAUAGAAUUAUCUCAAAUUCUAAAUUAGCUGUGUGUGACUUCAUGAAAUUUUUUCUUUGAAAAGAGAAAUGAAACUCCUGUGAUUAAAGGACACACACAGCUUUCUGACUAUACUGCUGUUUGGAAGGGGUGUGUUUUUAAAAAUGUUAAUUGGAAUUUAUUUGGCUUUCAAAAAUUCAUAUAUAAAAAUAAUGAAAACAGAAAUGACACAGCCUAGUAGCUGCCUGGGUAUCCCAGACUCCACGUCCUUUUAAGGUAACUCACUCUGCCCGCCUGCUUUCCCACAGGCUCAGUGUGGCCAGAGCUGACCGCGAGCCUGGCUUUAUGCUGUUGCUGGGGUGGGACCUGGGCUCCACAACCUGCACCCUUCUGAAGGGAGGCCCACAGUGCUGGUCCACAGAUCGAUGCAGCCUUGGUUCGCUGCCUCUGGUGCUGACUGCAGGGGCCUGGCCAGACCAUCAUCGUCACCAGCACUGUGGACUGGGAGGGUGCAGGGCUGCAUUCCUGCAGAGACCAAUGGUGGCAGUACAUCUCUGCCUCCCUUCUGUCCUUCCCUGCAUCUGGAAGAGGACUACUUGGAGGCCUGAAACUGCCCUCCUGUCCUGAAGGGUGGAAAACCUGGCUUAACUACAUCUUCCGUCAGCUGUGGGCCACGUGGACUGUCCAGCAGAGGUUGGUGCACCUGGACAGCCUGAUUGUAUCAGGCUGUGGCUGAGUGGGAACAGCUGGAGGCUGGUCAGGGGCUGAGGAACACCUGAAGCAUUCCUUGUGGGUUUAAGUUCCCAUCUGGGCCCCCUGCCCAGACCUGGCACUCCGCUACUGCCACCCCACCUGCAGCCAGCAGGAUGCUCUCAUAGCUGACUCAUGGUGGGGGUCGCAGGAAGAGGAGCAGAGGCCAAAGGCUGAGGAGCUCUGGCCCAGGGACCCACUGGGUUACUUGUGACAGGCUUUGGCCUAGUAGCUGCUUGUGUAUCCCAGACCCCAGCUCUCAGGCUCUUGAUUGCUAAGAUGAAGAUUUAUAAUAAACAGGAUAGAGAAAUGUAAAUGCCCUUAAUGUUACAUAAGCUCUUAUCGCUUCUGUAUAUUUAUAUAUGAAUACCCAUAUAUAUAUAUAUAUAUAUAUACACAUAUACACACAUAUAUGUAUGAGUCAUAAGAAAUUAUUUAUAUAUUCAUCCCCCUAUGAAUAUGGGGAUGAUAGAGAGGGUCUCUAUCAUGUAGGGGUAUGUGUGUUACAUGGAUGUAUGCAUUUGUCAAAACUCAUGUAACUACACAGAAAAUCUGUCUAUUUCACCAUAAACACCAAUAAAUUUUUUUUUUUAAAGCAGCAGCAGUAAAAGAAAAAAUGCUGCCACUACUCAGUGCUGUCAAGCGGUGGCCUGGGCUGCUGGGCAUAGAUCCAGCUCCUCCAUGGAGCCUGGGGGAAGGAGCUGAUUUCCCAGUGAUUCUACACAACGUUCUCUAGCUAACCAAAGUCUUGUUUCCAAAGAAUAGUCAUCAGUGACAAGGCAAAGUGUUCACAUUACAAUGUUAAAGAGAAAAAAAGGGGGCAAAGUUUCACAUAAUGCAGAUUCCCAAUUUGUAAAAAACAGUUUGGACAAAAGCAGAGAUGCAUGUAUUCAUGGAGCCAAGGAACCAUUCACUGAGCUUUCCCUUGGCUGUGACCCACAUGUCACAAACCCUCACUGAGCUCCCAGCCUGUGAGCAAUGACUUGCAGAGGUAAGUGCUUCCCUGGAGACCGUGGUGGGAACAGCAGGGUUAGGGCUUUGUAGGUGUGACAAACUGGGUUUUCAGGAGAGCUGGCCCUUGUGCUGAGUGGUCUUCCUUUCUAAUCAAGGUGUGCCAUACAGAAAGCACAGAGGUGAGUGAAGUGUACUAAUCUACUGUGUAAGCAGGAUGAUGACUUUUCUCAAUGUCCACGGUGCAGCCACCAUCCAGACCACAAUGUUGGCAACCCCCAAGUGUCCCUGUGUCCAUUCCAGUCUUUACCCCCGUUCCCGGUAACCACUAUUCUGAUUUCCAUCACCAUAAGUUUGUAUUCCUGUUCUAGGACUUUAUACAAAUGGAAUCAUGAAAUAUGUCUGCCUUUUUGAGUCUGCCUUCUUUUACUUAAUGUGGUCUGAAAGUUCACUUCAUUCUUUUUAAAAUUGUUGUGUCCAUUGCCUGAAUAUACCUGUUGAUGGAUACUUGAAACACUUACGCUGUUUGGCUAUUAAGAGUAGAGCUGUAGACAUUUUAAGACAUGUCUUUUUGCUGACAUAAGCACUCAUUUCUCUUGGGUGUAUAUCAAGAAGUGGAAUUGCUGAGAGAUAGGGCAGCUAAGUGUUCAGCUUUAGUACAAACUGCCAAAUGGUUUUCCAAGUGGUUGUGCCAUUUCACUCCCCCAGCCCCAACAGUGUCUGAGAUCUCUGGCUUUGAGCUGAGUCUUGAUGUGUGGAUUCUCAUGGCAUUUUAUGGUGGUGGCAGAUGGAAGCUACAGUUAGGGAGAAAGACAUUCUGGGUAAAAGGAAUGACAUAAGGAUGCAUGGUGACCAUGAAAAUGCAUCAUUCAGAUCUCCUGUGGCAGAGGACAUGGGAUGGCCCAGCUGCUGUGCUGAAUUCACCAAGGUACUGAUGCAGAGGACACAUUUCCCACUGUGGUUCCCAGCUGAUUAGCGUGGUGGGGAUACCUAUCUAAUGAACAUCUUCAGCUCAAGAACUCCCCAUCGGCCUGGUUAAAAGGUGUGCCAUAUAGAAUGCACGGAGCUACAGCCUGAGGCUCCACCUCCUCUCCCCGGCUUUUUUCCCUCUCCUCUUUAUAGGAGUCAGAUGUGCAGCAGGUCUCUCUAACAACAAAAAGACCAAAACUCCUUUCUUCAGGGCAGACUGGAUCUUGGGGGAACUUUCUAGCUCUGCUCCCAUGGAAGGCAGACAAACGUUAGCUGAAUGUCAGGUGUGGUAUUAGGCAAAACUGCCCAUGGGAGUUUUUGACCUCUGAUUGACAAACUACACCUGGACUGGAAGGACAAAUAAUCUACACCAUCUGGUAAGAAACCAUAGCCUUAGGCUUCCCUAAGUGCAGAAACUCAUAACUGGGCGCGUCCUUUGAGGGGCCCUGCGAAUUCUGAUUGUGGGUUGUUGAAAACACAUUGACUCCUAUAGGGAAUGGGCUUCUGAACCAAGGUGGCCUUCAGGACUACUGAUGUGAAGACUGCUCCUGUGGAAGGGAACUGUUGGCACGGUCCUGCUGGUACACUAAGCAUCUAUCUCCAUCCUUCUAAGCACCUCCGAUGCCAGGUAUGGUCCUCUUGCAAGUCUGAAUGUCUAGUUGAGCCUAAGAAAAACCUAUGGUAGAUACAGCUCUUCCUCCCCUCAGCCCUCUCCCACCUACUUCUAGGCUUUCAUCCCAUGUAGGUAGAACUGUGAUAUUAGUCCAGCUAGUCAAGAUGAAAUCCAACCAGCUUGCUCACUUCACCAUUCUAGACGCUUUCCCAUUGCCACGUCUCCCUAGCUAACGGUCAGGAUUAAAGGGCACCUGGGUUUUGAUGACCAGCCCCCCUUCUUCCCAUCCAAUAA
Molecule: RNA transcript, 10244 nt
Organism: Sapajus apella (tufted capuchin)
Lineage: Eukaryota; Metazoa; Chordata; Mammalia; Primates; Cebidae
Gene: GASK1A
Gene name: golgi associated kinase 1A
Exons: 9
Source: RefSeq, a predicted model, not a curated record